RNAcentral lists this ribosomal RNA (443 nucleotides) under uncultured bacterium. Its description in RNAcentral is "partial 16S ribosomal RNA". It matches the Rfam family "Bacterial small subunit ribosomal RNA", at positions 338 to 795 of the family's 1533-position model. The record is from RNAcentral.
CCUACGGGAGGCAGCAGUGGGGAAUAUUGGACAAUGGGGGGAACCCUGAUCCAGCGACGCCGCGUGAGUGAAGAAGUAUUUCGGUAUGUAAAGCUCUAUCAGCAGGGAAGAAAGAAAUGACGGUACCUGACUACGAAGCCCCGGCUAACUACGUGCCAGCAGCCGCGGUAAUACGUAGGGGGCAAGCGUUAGCCGGAUUUACUGGGUGUAAAGGGAGCGUAGACGGCGAUGCAAGUCUGAAGUGAAAGGCGGGGGCCCAACCCCCGGACUGCUUUGGAAACUGUAUGGCUGGAGUGCAGGAGAGGUAAGUGGAAUUCCUAGUGUAGCGGUGAAAUGCGUAGAUAUUAGGAGGAACACCAGUGGCGAAGGCGGCUUACUGGACUGUAACUGACGUUGAGGCUCGAAAGCGUGGGGAGCAAACAGGAUUAGAUACCCUAGUAGUC